Molecule: ribosomal RNA, 441 nt
Filed under: uncultured bacterium
Lineage: Bacteria
Description: partial 16S ribosomal RNA
Rfam family: Bacterial small subunit ribosomal RNA
Source: RNAcentral
CCUACGGGAGGCAGCAGUGGGGAAUAUUGCACAAUGGGGGAAACCCUGAUGCAGCGACGCCGCGUGAGUGAAGAAGUAUUUCGGUAUGUAAAGCUCUAUCAGCAGGAACGAGACAAGACGGUACCUGACUAAGAAGCCCCGGCUAACUACGUGCCAGCAGCCGCGGUAAUACGUAGGGGGCAAGCGUUAUCCGGAAUCACUGGGUGUAAAGGGAGCGUAGACGGCUGAGCAAGCCUGAAGUGAAAGGCGGUGGCCGAACCCCCGGACUGCUUUGGGAACUGUACGGCUGGAGUGCAGGAGAGGUAAGUGGAAUUCCUAGUGUAGCGGUGAAAUGCGUAGAUAUUAGGAGGAACACCAGUGGCGAAGGCGGCUUACUGGACUGUAACUGACGUUGAGGCUCGAAAGCGUGGGGAGCAAACAGGAUUAGAUACCCGUGUAGUC